Molecule: ribosomal RNA, 263 nt
Filed under: uncultured bacterium
Lineage: Bacteria
Description: partial 16S ribosomal RNA
Rfam family: Bacterial small subunit ribosomal RNA
Source: RNAcentral
AGUAACACGUAAACAACCUGCCUUCAGGAUGGGGACAACAGACGGAAACGACUGCUAAUACCGAAUAAGUUCCAAGAGCCGCAUGGCCCAUGGAAGAAAAGGUGGCCUCUACCUGUAAGUUAUCGCCUGAAGAGGGGUUUGCGUCUGAUUAGCUGGUUGGAGGGGUAACGGCCCACCAAGGCGACGAUCAGUAGCCGGUCUGAGAGGAUGAACGGCCACACUGGAACUGAGACACGGUCCAGACUCCUACGGGAGGCAGCAUG